GACGAACGCUGGCGGCGUGCUUAACACAUGCAAGUCGAACGGAAAGGCCCUGCUUUUGUGGGGUGCUCGAGUGGCGAACGGGUGAGUAACACGUGAGUAACCUGCCCUUGACUUUGGGAUAACUUCAGGAAACUGGGGCUAAUACCGGAUAGGAGCUCCUGCUGCAUGGUGGGGGUUGGAAAGUUUCGGCGGUUGGGGAUGGACUCGCGGCUUAUCAGCUUGUUGGUGGGGUAGUGGCUUACCAAGGCUUUGACGGGUAGCCGGCCUGAGAGGGUGACCGGCCACAGUGGGACUGAGAUACGGCCCAGACUCAUACGGGAGGCAGCAGUGGGGAAUAUUGCACAAUGGGCGGAAGCCGGAUGCAGCAACGCCGCGUGCGGGAUGACGGCCUUCGGGUUGUAAACCGCUUUCGCCUGUGACGAAGCGUGAGUGACGGUAAUGGGGAAAGAAGCACCGGCGAACUACGU
RNAcentral lists this ribosomal RNA (467 nucleotides) under uncultured bacterium. Its description in RNAcentral is "partial 16S ribosomal RNA". It matches the Rfam family "Bacterial small subunit ribosomal RNA", at positions 28 to 506 of the family's 1533-position model. The record is from RNAcentral.